GUUAAGUGACUAAGCGUAUACGGUGGAUGCCUUGGCAGUUAGAGGCGAUGAAGGACGUGUAAGUCUGCGAAAAGCUGUGGUGAGCCGACAAAAUGCAUUUGAGCCACAGAUGUCCGAAUGGGGAAACCCACCUAUUUAUAGGUAUCGUUACAUGAAUAUAUAGUGUAACGAGGCGAACGAGGGGAACUGA
RNAcentral lists this ribosomal RNA (190 nucleotides) under uncultured Goniomonas sp. RNAcentral's name for it is "partial Bacterial large subunit ribosomal RNA". It matches the Rfam family "Bacterial large subunit ribosomal RNA", at positions 1 to 196 of the family's 2925-position model. Lineage: Eukaryota; Cryptophyceae; Goniomonadida; Goniomonadaceae. The record is from RNAcentral.